UACGGAGGGUGCAAGCGUUAUCCGGAUUCACUGGGUUUAAAGGGUGCGUAGGAGGGCAGGUAAGUCAGUGGUGAAAUCUCCGAGCUUAACUUGGAAACUGCCGUUGAUACUAUCUGUCUUGAAUAUUGUGGAGGUGAGCGGAAUAUGUCAUGUAGCGGUGAAAUGCUUAGAUAUGACACAGAACACCGAUUGCGAAGGCAGCUCACUAAGUCAUAACUGGCGCUGAUGCACGAAAGCGUGGGGAGCAAACAGG
Molecule: ribosomal RNA, 253 nt
Filed under: uncultured bacterium
Lineage: Bacteria
Description: partial 16S ribosomal RNA
Rfam family: Bacterial small subunit ribosomal RNA
Source: RNAcentral